Molecule: ribosomal RNA, 589 nt
Filed under: uncultured bacterium
Lineage: Bacteria
Description: bacterial SSU rRNA
Rfam family: Bacterial small subunit ribosomal RNA
Source: RNAcentral
GCUUCUCUUGAGAGCGGCGGACGGGUGAGUAAUGCCUAGGAAUCUGCCUGGUAGUGGGGGAUAACGUCCGGAAACGGACGCUAAUACCGCAUACGUCCUACGGGAGAAAGCAGGGGACCUUCGGGCCUUGCGCUAUCAGAUGAGCCUAGGUCGGAUUAGCUAGUUGGUGGGGUAAUGGCUCACCAAGGCGACGAUCCGUAACUGGUCUGAGAGGAUGAUCAGUCACACUGGAACUGAGACACGGUCCAGACUCCUACGGGAGGCAGCAGUGGGGAAUAUUGGACAAUGGGCGAAAGCCUGAUCCAGCCAUGCCGCGUGUGUGAAGAAGGUCUUCGGAUUGUAAAGCACUUUAAGUUGGGAGGAAGGGCAGUAAAUUAAUACUUUGCUGUUUUGACGUUACCGACAGAAUAAGCACCGGCUAACUCUGUGCCAGCAGCCGCGGUAAUACAGAGGGUGCAAGCGUUAAUCGGAAUUACUGGGCGUAAAGCGCGCGUAGGUGGUUCGUUAAGUUUGGAUGUGAAAUCCCCGGGCUCAACCUGGGAACUGCAUUCAAAAACUGACGAGCUAGAGUAUGGUAGAGGGUGGUGGA